GACAGAGGGUGCAAACGUUGUUCGGAAUUACUGGGCGUAAAGCGUGUGUAGGCGGUCUCAUAAGUCGGGUGUGAAAGCCCCGGGCUCAACCCGGGAAGUGCACUCGAAACUGCGAGGCUAGAGUACUGGAGAGGUUGGUGGAAUUCCGAGUGUAGAGGUGAAAUUCGUAGAUAUUCGGAAGAACACCAGUGGCGAAGGCGGCUCACUGGACUGGUAUUGACGCUGAGGUGCGAAAGCGUGGGGAGCAAACAGG
This 253-nucleotide ribosomal RNA is filed under the name uncultured bacterium. Its description in RNAcentral is "partial 16S ribosomal RNA". It matches the Rfam family "Bacterial small subunit ribosomal RNA", at positions 524 to 776 of the family's 1533-position model. The record is from RNAcentral.